ACAUGCCACACAAAGUGAAAUAAAGAAAGUAUUAUUCAUUAAAAGGUUAAAUGUGUGAGUAAUUUCAUAAGUCUAUAUGUUGGAAAAAUAAAACGUAAAUCGAAGUUUCGAAAUCUUUGUUCUUAGUUACAUCACUCUGUAUGGUUGGAAAUAUACUCUAAGAGUCAAUUGCAAGGUAUAUGAUAGAGACAUUUUUCUAAUUAACAAUCAUGAUAUUAUAAAUUGGAAUAAGCUUUCAAGCCAAUUACAAAAGAGAUAUGAUUGGAUAUAUUUUGUAAACAAUCCUAUUUGUAGUUUAACAAAUCAAUAAAGGCAUCCUUCAUCCCAUAAUGUGACAUGUCUUUCUAUACUUCUUUAUUGGAUCAACCAACUGGAUCAUGGCAGAGGCGGCCCAAAAGGUCCUGGAGGCCCGUAAAAGCCCAUUGGGCCCUUAAAACAGUCUUGUAAUAGCCAGCAACAGCAGAAGAAGCUCAGGCUGUACAAAUUUAAACAUUUCAAAACAUUAAGUUAAGUUCAAUAACAAUAAGCUUAAGCAUCAAUAAUUUGAUGGUGAAUAAUAUUUAAAUAUUCAAGAAACACAAGCUUAUAGAAGAAUAGCCAAAUAAAAACAAAGCAAAACCAAAUUGUUUUCUAGUCCAAAGAUUUUAUUUUUAUUUUUUCUCCUCAAAGAUUCAAAAACAAUUCGAAACACAUCAAAAUUUUUGAAAUAUAGAAGAAAACUAUUGGUUCCAAAUGACUUACCAAGAACCUAUAAAAUCACAUAAACCACCAAAGAAGCCACAAGGUCCUGGCAUUGGGGGUCCUCCGAGACCUAGAGGAGGACCCCAUCCGGGUCCUGGUCCUAGCCCCGGUCCUCCUGGUCUCAUAAUUUCACUUAGGCUAGAUUAACCAAACCUAACCAAAUCCCUUAUACUAACAAUCACAAUGUUGGAACAGCUUUAGUUUACUUUCAAUCUUGAGCUGGAAC
RNAcentral lists this long non-coding RNA (967 nucleotides) under Nicotiana tabacum (common tobacco). Its description in RNAcentral is "long non-coding RNA (NTAB_LNC006657)". Lineage: Eukaryota; Viridiplantae; Streptophyta; Magnoliopsida; Solanales; Solanaceae. The record is from RNAcentral.